Molecule: RNA transcript, 1323 nt
Organism: Spinacia oleracea (spinach)
Lineage: Eukaryota; Viridiplantae; Streptophyta; Magnoliopsida; Caryophyllales; Amaranthaceae
Exons: 6
Source: RefSeq, a predicted model, not a curated record
GGACCCAUCUCCACAAACCUGGCUUGAGAGCUCUUAAAAGACUCUAACCUCUAAUUCCACCCUCUCUCAAUUUUUUUCACUCUCGCCGUCGCCUCGCCUCGCCGUCACAUACACCGACAGCCGACACCCGAUACCGGACGUCGGACGCUCGACGGUUGCAGCUUCCGACGGUGAUUCCUGCCUGGCUAUAAUAUAACCCCUACCUUCUUCAAGUGUUCCACCUAAUAAGGAAAAUAAUAUUUAGAGAAAGAGAUGGAGAAGACAAGCAAAGAGCUGCUGCAAUUUGAGCACAAGGACCCUUCUUCCUUCAAAGAAUCAGCGUUGCUUGUUUGUGGGAAGAGCAAGAAAUCAGCAGAAGAGGGACCGAAUUCUGAAGGGCAGCGGCAGCCCCUUACUGCACCACUCCCUAAAAGCCAAGUGCUUGGUAAGGUGAGGGAUUUCUUAGGAGUAAUAUCUGAAGCUAACAAAACUCUCCAACUCAAUGCGAAGGACAAACCUGAGGAAUUUAAUAUUGAAGUUCUGCAUGGUAAUGAAUCAGAGUACAUUGAAAUGGAUUUGAUGCUGGGCGUUGCUGAUCUUCAAACUCCCGAGGCCAUGGAAGCUGCAGAGGCUGCAAUCGCCGGAAACCAGUCAGUUGUUGAUUUACAUAUCAAUGAUAGUUCCUCAGAAUCAGAUAGUAGCAGUGAUAGCGAUGAUGAAGAUGACAGCGAUGUAGAUGAAAAUGGAAAGGCUGGUGGACAAUCAGAAAUGCAGAUUGAUGGUUCUUUAAAACAGCAGUCAGAAAGCCGUACAAAGAGAAAACGGUCAAAGAUUGUUGAGCUCCCAUAAAACGAUUCCCUUUUUCCUAUCAAGAAAUGAGUAUUACGCUACACAUUCUGUUGGUGCAGAUUGUUUUGAAUGGAUACAGCAAUCGUGAUCUAUGUGUAGUCUAAAUUUUGCUGAGGUUUUGCUGCUUGAUCCUUAUACAUAGGUAAGAAUAAGGGACCCUAACUGAACCAGCACCUAGCACAGGUGAACCAGCCCAGCUCCCGCUUGAGCCACUCCCAAGCAUUUCGCAGUUGAUGGGGUUCGAACUUGUGACCUCCAAGUCACAAGGUGAGUUCCCCACCAACUCCACCAACUUAUGUUGGUUUAUUCAGUUUCGUUUGAUGUAAACAAUAAAAAUAGCAACACCCUAACACUACAAGUUGUGUAAAAUAUAAUUUGUCAGACAGAAACAACAAAACCUGAAUAUGAGGCACAGGUUCAGGAGAAUGGAGAUCUUUUAAGCCAGGCUGCUAAAACAAUUUAUAAUUAAUUAAUUAUCAACCCUAAGUCGCUAAA